RNAcentral lists this long non-coding RNA (1654 nucleotides) under Gallus gallus (chicken). RNAcentral describes it as "lncRNA (ENSGALG00010006788.1)". Lineage: Eukaryota; Metazoa; Chordata; Aves; Galliformes; Phasianidae. The record is from RNAcentral.
AUCAUCUCCCUCACCCUUCUGGCCUCAUUCCUUGUUUAAUGCAGCCCAGGAUAUAGUUGGCUUUUUGGGCUGUGGCUAUGAGGGCACAUUGCUGGCUCAAGUCUAGCUUCCCAUCCACCAGUACUUCCAAGUCCUUUUCAGCAGGACUGUACUCCAUCCUUACAGCCCCCAGCUUGUGUUAAUAGAGGGGGCUGCCAUGACCCAAGUACAAGACCUUGCACUUGGCUUUGUUGAAUCUCAUGAGGUUCACCCAGGCCCACUGCUUAAGACUGUCCAUGUCACUCUGGAUGGCAUCCUAUCCCUUAGGCAUGUCAGCCACACCACACAGCUUGAUGUCAUCCACAAACUUGCUGAGGGUGCACUCGAUCCCACCGUCAAUGUUGUUGAUGAAGAUAAUAAAGAGUAUUGGUGCCAGUACUGAUCCCUGAGGGACAUCACUUGCCACUGAGCUUCAUCUGGUCAUUGAUCUAUUGACCACCGCAAACUGGGUAAGAUCUUGCAGCUAAUUCCUCAUCCAUCAAACGGUCUACCCAUCAAAUCCAUAUCCUUCCAAUUUGGAGAGAAGGAUGUUAUGGGGGAUCAUGGCAAAGGCCUUAUAAAAGUCCAGAUAAAUGACAACAGUGGGCCUUCCCUUCAUACAUUGUACCUAUUUUUGGCAAGUUCUGUUGGACUAACUUGCAAUUGUUUUUAUAGAUAAAGAUAUAUAGAGGGAAGAGUAUGAAAUUUCCCUGGUUCGUUUAAAAUUUUAUUUGGCACAACUUGCAUAGGUACACUCCAGAUAACUUUUGGUGCUUUUUCUCUGAUCUGCUGCUCCUUACAAUUGCCAAAAUAAGCAGUUUAUUUCUGGAAAAAGACAGAACUUCCAUCCUGUAAUACACUAUCCAGAUAUAAACUGCCACCCUUCUCAUUGUUGCUGAUUUUUCAAAAAGCAUUGAAGUUGAUAUUUCAUACACUUGAUGAUGUGGAAGACUGAAUUAUUUGCAUGUGUCAAGUCUGAACUUAGCUGCUUUUCAAAUAAAUUAAGCUCAGUAUUUAAUCUUGUUUCACAAUGAUCAUCUCAUUAGACAUAUUCAUUAAAAAAAACUUAAUCUUUUCAUUUAACAGUUUACAAAAAUCAAAAAUUAUUUUUUUUUUUAAUAUUUCAAUCUCUCUUAAAGCAAAAAAAAACCUGAUUUUAGUCAUAGCAUUCUUUAACUUUUAUUUUCUUUUAAUUGUGGUUUAAAAUUUGUAUAUGUAUCUUGGCUAUUAUUUUUAGGGGUGUUAAUAUUGCUAUUUAUUAUUUUUAGCAGCAGUAUUUACACAUUCCAACAGGGAUUUACCACUACAUUAUAUUAAAACUAUUCAAACAAUUAACUCAACGUCUGUUUGUGUUCCAGGGAUCUCAUAAUUUAGACUGGGGUGUGGAAAGGAAAAGAUUUGGCAGAGGAAAUUUAAAAUACACUCAUUAAAAUAGCAGUACCUACUGCCUUGCAAGCUCUGCAGAACAGCUGAGGGUCAGUGAGACAUACUUAAUUUUCAUACCCUAAAUCAGUGUACUAAUGAAAUGGUGCUUUUUAAAAGCUUCUUUCACACAUUUAUUCCUUAUAGGAAAUUACCACUGGAUAUAAGUGCUUUGGAACAUUUGAGAAAGGUUUCCUUAACAUAGAAAAUAAGG